RNAcentral lists this unclassified non-coding RNA (231 nucleotides) under Basidiomycota sp. Its description in RNAcentral is "partial contains small subunit ribosomal RNA, internal transcribed spacer 1, and 5.8S ribosomal RNA". The stretch from base 1 to 47 matches the Rfam family "Eukaryotic small subunit ribosomal RNA", at positions 1785 to 1831 of the family's 1831-position model. Lineage: Eukaryota; Fungi; Basidiomycota. The record is from RNAcentral.
AAAGUCGUAACAAGGUUUCCGUAGGUGAACCUGCGGAAGGAUCAUUACUGAAUGACAUUUUGUCUAUCACAAUCUGUGCCUCGUUGUGGUGGACCACUUCCUGCCGUCAGGUUUUUGAUGCCGGGAUUUGGUCCACCAUGCCUUUUCACCAAACAAACCUGUCGUUGCAUGUAUGGCAUUAAAAGUAUAUAAAUACAAAUAUAACUUUCAACAACGGAUCUCUUGGCUCUC